AUUGAACGCUGGCGGAAGGCUUAACACAUGCAAGUCGAGCGGCAGAAGGGGGGCAACCCUGGGAUCGAGCGGCGAACGGGUGAGUAAUACAUCGGAACAUGCCCGGUAGUGGGGGAUAACACUCGGAAACAGGUGCUAAUACCGCAUACGUCCUGAGGGGGAAAGCGGGGGAUCGUAAGACCUCACGCGAUCAGAUGAGCCUAUGUCGGAUUAGCUAGUUGGUGGGGUAAAGGCCUACCAAGGCAACGAUCCGUAGCUGGUCUGAGAGGAUGAUCAGCCACACUGGAACUGAGACACGGUCCAGACUCCUACGGGAGGCAGCAGUGGGGAAUUUUGGACAAUGGGCGCAAGCCUGAUCCAGCCAUGCCGCGUGUGUGAAGAAGGUCUUCGGGUUGUAAAGCUCUUUCAGCAGGAACGAAGCGCUGUGAUCUAACAUCUCGCUGUCCUGACGUUACCUACAGAAGAAGCACCGGCUAACUUCGUG
Molecule: ribosomal RNA, 484 nt
Filed under: uncultured bacterium
Lineage: Bacteria
Description: partial 16S ribosomal RNA
Rfam family: Bacterial small subunit ribosomal RNA
Source: RNAcentral